UGACAGGUGCUGCAUGGCUGUCGUCAGCUCGUGUUGUGAAAUGUUGGGUUAAGUCCCGUAACGAGCGCAACCCUUGUCCUUAUUUGCCAGCGAGUAAUGUCGGGGAACUCUAAGGAGACUGCCGGUGACAAAACCCGGGAGGAAGGUGGGGACGACGUCAAGUCAUCAUGGCCCUUACGGGUAGGGCUACACACGUGCUACAAUGGCCGGUACAAAGGGCGGCGAGCUCGCGAGAGUCAGCGAAUCCCUUAAAGCCGGUCUCAGUCCGGAUCGGAGUCUGCAACUCGACUCCGUGAAGUCGGAAUCGCUAGUAAUCGUGAAUCAGAAUGUCACGGUGAAUACGUUCCCGGGCCUU
RNAcentral lists this ribosomal RNA (355 nucleotides) under uncultured Halomonas sp. RNAcentral's name for it is "bacterial SSU rRNA". It matches the Rfam family "Bacterial small subunit ribosomal RNA", at positions 1032 to 1382 of the family's 1533-position model. The record is from RNAcentral. Lineage: Bacteria; Pseudomonadati; Pseudomonadota; Gammaproteobacteria; Oceanospirillales; Halomonadaceae.